Molecule: long non-coding RNA, 5003 nt
Organism: Colias croceus (clouded yellow)
Lineage: Eukaryota; Metazoa; Arthropoda; Insecta; Lepidoptera; Pieridae
Exons: 2
Source: RefSeq, a predicted model, not a curated record
AAUAUCCGGAACGCAACUGUCAAACUUCAUUACGUUUUUUUGUGCGCAAGCCGUCACAGUAAAAUUUUGUUUCAUUUUAUAAAAAUGAAAAUUUCAUUUAAAAACACGUGUAUUAAUUACUAAUACUAAGUUUUAAUAUCAUGUUUCACUGGAAAUUGAAUAAAUAGUUGGCUAAAUCAAGUGCUACAAGCUUAUAAAUGCAAAGGAAAUCUCACAAUGACGAGUGCAUUAAAGGUACAUAAAUGGAUUGAAUUCUUACUAACGUUCAAGGGGUAAGUGAUACAUUGCAUAUAAAUGUGUUUUUGGUAGUCAAACCAAGAUAUUAACGUUGUUUUAUCAAAGAAUAUCAUAAAAUAUUGUGUAUGAACCGGUUUAGAGGUUAUGUUUAUGUUAUGUUUAGGCAUUGCAACCUGUUUGUACAUGUCAACAUGACAUGAGUGUUUUUCUAAACGAAAAAGCGGUUUUUUUGUUAGGUUCGCUAAAUUCGUACACUAGUCAUUUCCGUUUCCUGAAAAAUCUUUCUCAUUGUACCUACGGUUCGCGCGUGUUUAUUCUCUCUUGUGUUUGCGUUGCAAAAAUCACUGUCUUAAAAUUGUGAAGUGAAAAUGGGGAAAAGAAAAAGAUCAGAUUCCUAUUUCCAUGAAGAUUUGUGGAAGAAAUUAAAAAAAACUGGAAAGAAGAUUGAAGAAAUGUGAAGGCAGAACUGAUAGAGACAGAGAGUCAAGUUCAGGGACUCCUCCUCCUUCUCCUGUUGAAUGUACUGAAGACUGGACAGGUAAUAUUGUUUAACCAAAUCAUCCUACCUACUUCAAACGACUGGAUAACUGUGGUAGACUUAGUACCUAUUAAACUAGUGUACAGGCCCAAUACUAAUUUUUGACUUAGCGCUACCACUAGCAAGUAGACAAUGUCAGUUAUAUACAUUUCAGCGCUAUCACCUAGUGGAUAGACAGUGUCAGAUAUAUACUUACAUUUCAGCGCUAUCACCUAGCGGAUGGACAUUUUAUUCUUACUUUCCUACUUCAAACGACUGGAUAACUGUGGUAGAUUUAGUACCUAUUAAACUAGUGUACAGGCCCAAUACUAAUUUUUGACUUAGCACUACCACUAGCAAGUAGACAAUGUCAGUUAUAUACAUUUCAGCGCUAUCACCUAGCGGAUAGACAGUGUCAGAUAUAUACUUACAUUUCAGCGCUAUCACCUAGCGGAUAGACAGUGUCAGAUAUAUACUUACAUUUCAGCGCUAUCACCUAGCGGAUAGACAGUGUCAGAUAUAUACUUACAUUUUAGCGCUAUCACCUAGCGGAUAGACAUUUUAUUCUUACUUUACUACUUCAAACGACUGGAUAACUGUGGUAGAUUUAGUACUUAUUAAACUAGUGUACAGGCCCAAUACUAAUUUUUGACUUAGCGCUAUCACCUAGCGGAUAGACAGUGUCAGAUAUAUACAUUUCAGCGCUAUCACCUAGCGGAUAGACAUUUUAUUCUUACAGUUACAAAAGACAUUACCAAAACAAUCUACAACCACAGCCUGACAGAAAUGUUUGUUUCCUAAAUAAAUAAAAUCAUAUAGUAGUAUGAGAAAUGAAUAACAUUUUUUUUUUAAAUAUUAUUUACAGUCGAAGAUAUCCCAGAGGAGCUUCUGUUAGCCCUGGGCAAGGAAGGUGAGAAGGAAAACAUUGUUGGCGGGGAGAUAAAGCAGCAGCUGACAGAACGGUGGACAAACAUCAUUCAUCAGGGACUUGGAAAAGAGGCCAGAGAAAAUUUAACAACAAAAUACCCCUCGCCAACAAAUUUUAUGGCAGCUGUACCGCCUGUCUUGACUGAAGCGAUAGCAGCUGCUAUGAAUGAAGCCAGUAAGAGGCAAGACAAACGAAUAGUUUUCUGUCAGGCGUUAAUAGCUAAACGACUCUGCUAAAUUUGCCGCAGAAGUACUUCAAGCCCAAGCUCCAGCCGACAACCCCGAGACAAAUAUCGCCGAUACUAGAGGUACAUGCCAGUAAACUGAAAUAUUUUUCUCAUAACUGGUUAAAAAUUACCAAUGACCCGGUAAUCUUACAAUGGGUUCAGGGAUACAAUAUCCCACUUAAUUUUUUCCCUCCAGAGCAUACAGGACCCCAUCAGUCUUGGUCUAACAAAGAAAAAGAAAUUAUUUAAUCGGGAAUAGAAAAAUUAAUAAAUUUAGGUGCUAUAUAUCAAUGUGAAUAUGUAGUGGGCCAGUUUAUAUCACCAAUAUUUGUAAUUCCAAAACCAAAUGGUACAUUCAUGUUUAUAUUGAAUUUAAAAGAAUUAAAUCAAUACAUUGAUACAUGUCAUUUCAAAUUAGAAGACAUAAGAACAGCAUGUAAAUUAAUUACUCAAUACUGGUAUAUGGCAAAAUUAGAUUUGAAGGAUGCAUACUUUAGUGUGGCUAUUUCAAAUGAAUCAAAAAAGUUUUUGAGGUUUAAAUUUGACAAUAAGUUGUAUGAAUUUAACUGCUUACCUUUUGGGUUUAUGCACAGCUCCUUUUGUAUUCACAAAACUUAUGAAACCAAUAUGUACUUACCUUAAUGUUAAAAAUAUUGCCCUGACAUCUUACUUAGACGAUAUACAUAAUAUAUUUUAACUCAUCAAAAGAACUAUGUAGGAAGGAUAUGGAGAUUUCGUGCACUUUGUUUCAAGAUCUAGGUUUUAUCAUUAACUUUGAAAAGAGUAUUUUCACACCAAAAGAGACAUGUACUUACCUGGGCAUAAUUAUAGAUUCAAGAUCAAUGUCAUUAUCAGUACCUCUAGAAAAACAAUUAUCUAUAAUAGAAAAAGUUAAUUAUUUUAAGAGAAUUAGGUCUUGUAAAAUAAGGAAAUUUUCUUAACUGUUAGGAAAAUUUACUACAGUUUGUCCAGCUAUACCCUAUUCAUGGGUAUAUACAAAACUUCUAGAAAGGGAGAGAUAUCUUGCUUUAAUUAAAAAGGAGAACAAUUAUGAUGAAAAAAUGAAAUUAUCAAAAAUAGUUACUUCUGAAUUGGAAUGGUGGACAAAGUACAUAGAUAGAUCUAACCCGAUUCAAAAUUAUAAUUUUUCUCUAGAAAUUCAGACAGAUGCUUCUACCACUGGCUGGGGAGCAGCUUGUGGUACAGAGCGAGCUUCAGGUUCAUGGUCCUCCACUGAGAGGCAAAACCAUAUCAAUUUCUUACAAAUUAAGGCAGCUUAUCUAGGACUUCAAUGUUUUACUAAAGACCUAAGUCAUUGUGAAAUCUUACUCAGAGUGGAUAACACUACCUACAGCAGUAACAUAUAUUAACAAAAUGGGUGGUGUUCAAUUUCCUCAUUUAAACGAAAUGGCUAAGAUCUUUUGGCAAUAUUGCGAGAGAAUAAAUUCAAAAGAAAAUUUUGAAGCUGACUUUGAAUCAAGAAAAAUAAACUAAUGAUGAAAUUGUACAACAAUUUGGCUGCCCAGAAAUCGAUUUAUUUGCCUCUAGAAUUAAUAACAAAUGUAAGAAGUUUGUCUCAUGGAAACAAGAUCCUGAAGCGUUUGCUGUAGAUGCAUUUACUGUUAAAUAUACUCUAUUUAUCUUUUUUUUUAUGCAUUUCCUCCUUUCUCAUUAGUUUUAAAAUGCAUUAGAAAAAUACAAUCUGAUAAAGCAGAAGGUAUCUUGGUAUUUCUUUUAUGGAAAUCCCAAGCCUGGUUCCCCAUGUUACAAUGUCUUCUAGUUGGUAAAAUGUUAAUUUUCGAACCCAAGCAAUAAUAUCAAACAAUAUGAUAGCUCUCUUAAAUUAUGGUGGAGUUUUUGUAAUAGGUUUAAAUUAGAUCCUUUUCAAACUUCAGUCCCAUUUAUAUCAGGUCAUUCAUAUCAUUCAUAUCAUUUGUAUCAGGUGCCUCAUAUGGUACCCUUAAUACCACUAAAUCAGCUAUUACAUUAAUAAUGGGACUGAAAGUUAGUGCAGAUGAUAGAAUAAUAAGAUUCUUAAAAGGUUUGCUUAAAAUGACACCACCUAAACCAAAAUAUAAUAUGACUUGGGACCCGGGCUUAGUAUUAGAAUAUUUAGGUAAAAAUUAUACUAAUGAUAAUUUGGACUUACAAAGGGCUACUAAGAAAUUCGUUAUAAUGUUAGCUCUUACUACGGGACAUAGGGUUCAAACCCUGUCCCUAAUAAAAGUAUCUAAUAUAAAAUUUACACAAAGCGGAGUUCAAAUUAAAAUUCCAGACAUUAUAAAAACGUCAAAUAAAAAUUCAGUUCAACCAAUGUUACAUUUGAAGUCGUUUACGGAAAAAGAAAUUUGCCCGGUAGAAAUCAUAAAAAUUUAUUUAAAUGCCACAGAAAACUUAAGGCAAAACAUUAAUCACCUGAUUUUAACAUUUAAAAAACCAUAUAAAAAGGCUUCAUCUCAAACAAUAAGUCAUGGAUAAAAUCUGUAUUGUGUGAAUCUGGGUCUUAGCAUAGACCUUAUUCGUAAGACCGUUGGAUGGUCUAGAGAUUCUUCUGUAUUUGCUAGGUUUUACAAUAGGCCUAUAAUAGAAGAUCCUUUAUCUUUCUCUGAUACUAUUUGUAAUCGCAUCCUAUCAGUACAAAUAUUUAAGAAAAACUUGUUUCUAGUUAUAAGAAUAUUUGUAAUAUUUUGUAAUAAAUUUGAUUUAUUAUAAAUGGUUUCAUUCACAACUCAUGAAUCUUUAAACAUCUACCAUAGUAAAAACCGUCUCAGACAAGGAGAGAGUAUAAUUAAAUGGUUAAACGAACUUACCUGUAAGUGAAGUUCUACCAUAAUUAUACGAAGCUCCUUGUCUGAGACGGUACCUGUUCCCACCCUACCCACCUCUGACCAAGUCUGAGUUGUUCAUGAAACUUCUUGCUUUAAAAGUAAUGAAGUUUGACAGUUGCGUUCCGGAUAUUGUCGUGUUUUUGUUUUUUUUUUUUUUUUUAGCUUGGAUACAUUGUGAUGGCUACUAGCAUGAAAGCGUAGACUACCAUAGUAAAAACCGUCUCAGACAAGGAGCUUCGUAUAAUUAUGGUAGAACUUCACUUACAG